UAUGGAAGCUUGCUUCCAACUGAGAAGAGUAGUGGCGAACGGGUGAGUAACACGUGGGUAACCUGCCCAUAAGAGGGGGAUAACGAUCCGGAAACGGGUGCUAAUACCGCAUAGUUUUCUUGAUCGCAUGAUUGAGAAAGGAAGACGGCCUUUGUGCUGUCGCUUAUGGAUGGACCCGCGGCGUAUUAGUUAGUUGGUGAGGUAACGGCUCACCAAGACGAUGAUACGUAGCCGACCUGAGAGGGUGAUCGGCCACAUUGGGACUGAGACACGGCCCAAACUCCUACGGGAGGCAGCAGUAGGGAAUCUUCCGCAAUGGACGAAAGUCUGACGGAGCAACGCCGCGUGAGUGAAAGAAGGUUUUCGGAUCGUAAAACUCUGUUGUCAGAGAAGAACAAGUUGGAGAGUAACUGCUCCAGCCUUGACGGUAUCUGACCAGAAAGCCACGGCUAACUACGUGCCAGCCGCCGC
RNAcentral lists this ribosomal RNA (471 nucleotides) under uncultured bacterium. RNAcentral's name for it is "bacterial SSU rRNA". It matches the Rfam family "Bacterial small subunit ribosomal RNA", at positions 70 to 518 of the family's 1533-position model. The record is from RNAcentral.